UACGGGGGGGGCAAGCGUUGUUCGGAAUUACUGGGCGUAAAGGGCUCGUAGGCGGCCAACUAAGUCAUACGUGAAAUCCCUCAGCUUAACUGGGGAACUGCGUGUGAUACUGGAUGGCUUGGAUUUGGGAGAGGGAUGCGGAAUUCCAGGUGUAGCGGUGAAAUGCGUAGAUAUCUGGAGGAACACCGGUGGCGAAGGCGGCAUCCUGGACCAAUAUUGACGCUGGGGAGCGAAAGCCAGGGGAGCAAACGGG
Molecule: ribosomal RNA, 253 nt
Filed under: uncultured bacterium
Lineage: Bacteria
Description: partial 16S ribosomal RNA
Rfam family: Bacterial small subunit ribosomal RNA
Source: RNAcentral